GAUGAACGCUGGCGGUAUGCUUAACACAUGCAAGUCGAACGGACUCUUCGGAGUUAGUGGCGGACGGGUGAGUAACGCGUGAGAAUCUGGCUUUGGGUUCGGGACAACCACUGGAAACGGUGGCUAAUACCGGAUGUGCCGAGAGGUAAAAGAGAAAUUGCCUGAAGAUGAGCUCGCGUCUGAUUAGCUAGUUGGUGAGGUAAAGGCUCACCAAGGCAGCGAUCAGUAGCUGGUCUGAGAGGAUGACCAGCCACACUGGGACUGAGACACGGCCCAGACUCCUACGGGAGGAAGCAGUGGGGAAUUUUCCGCAAUGGGCGAAAGACUGACGGAGCAAUACCGCGUGAGGGAAGAAGGCUCUUGGGUUGUAAACCUCUUUUCUUAGGGAAGAACAAAAUGACGGUACCUAAGGAAUCAGCAUCGGCUAACUCCGUG
This 435-nucleotide ribosomal RNA is filed under the name uncultured bacterium. RNAcentral describes it as "partial 16S ribosomal RNA". It matches the Rfam family "Bacterial small subunit ribosomal RNA", at positions 28 to 507 of the family's 1533-position model. The record is from RNAcentral.